GAAGCACAUGACUCGAAAUAAUUUUGCAUGGAACAGCAAGGGUCCCAUCCUGUUCUAGGUCAGGAUGUUUCAAGGUGGUCAUGGAAAGAAUGAUAGAACAUGGACAAACUGAACGCCUACUUUGUGAACAUUCAUCUCAAGGUGUCGGAGUAACAAGAUUUUUGAGGGCCAUAGUUCCAACCAGUUCAUAUCAGAAUAGCAGAAAGAACAAACUUACUAUAAGAAAUGAUGAGCCAAAUCGAGGCAAUCUUUCAACAAUGUAAGCACAUUCUUCAGGUAAAGCAAAUGUAGUAGCACAAAACAGUACUCCUUUUCUUUGAGGAAAUAAAAGCAUAAAAACCUGCUUUCUCAUAUUGGUAAAAAGGGUGCUUUCCAUUUACAACAUCAAGAAUAAGCUUCAAUUGCAGGAUAACAAAGCACCGAAACAAGAAGGGAGAAGCAUAUAAUAUGCAUACAAACAAAUAUAUAGAUGAACUUGGUUGCAUCUUUAACUACAAAAUACUAAUGUUAAGAGGUUUAGACGUGGCUUUUAUGAUUUAGCCGCCACCAUUUAUUCCCAUGGAGGGCUGACAUCCAUUACCAUGAAGGUACUAUUUUCUGUAUACUUCUCAAACUUCAGCCCCAAGCCAUCUCAACUCAUUUGCCACAACUUCUGGAUAACAACUCCAUGCCCCUUAUACUACCAGUGUCUUUUCAGAUAUUCCUUGCAUAUGCUAACUACCUGUACUUAUAUCUAUCGGCGCUAAAUUCUUAAAUUUUCCCCUGAAUUCAAUUGUACGGAUUUCUAAACCUUCUCAUCACAUGGCCACCCCAAUCAUUCUCAUCAAUGCAAAUGCUUAUCUGUGUCCAAAGCCCAUUAUUUUCCAACACAGUUCAACACUAUAAACCUUAGUAUUGACCUUAAUUUGUUACCCGGCAUCUCAAAAGAUGGUGGCGACUGCAUUGCCCCAAAGAACGAAUUUUCCACUUCGCCCACUAUUCACCAGUCUUCUUUUAUCUCUCUUUGUAUCUGUGUAUAAUUAGUCCACAAUGAUCAAAGCUAGGAUGCAUAGGAAGAAAUUCUUAAGCAUUAGAAGAAGAAACAAUGCACACUUGCACCUUAGUCCAUGCAUUAUAGGCUGCCAUCCAAUCACAUGUAACCUGCUCCCUUCUGAAUCUGCUAUAUCAUACUGUCCACAGUGCAUAACUACAAAAAUAUUUAGUUGCUCCCUUCGGAAACCUUUUCAAAUCUAGUGAGGUUUACAAAUAUAGCAGCAUCCAUAUGAUAGUUUCACUAAUGACAGGACUCCCCUGAAUUUCAAUGAGCCAACUGCUAAACUCUCUCCAACAUUUUGGCAGACAUAUGUUAGCGGUUGGA
This 1357-nucleotide long non-coding RNA is filed under the name Phoenix dactylifera (date palm). Its description in RNAcentral is "long non-coding RNA (PDAC_LNC002876)". The record is from RNAcentral. Lineage: Eukaryota; Viridiplantae; Streptophyta; Magnoliopsida; Arecales; Arecaceae.